AACUGAAGAGUUUGAUCAUGGCUCAGAUUGAACGCUGGCGGCAGGCUUAACACAUGCAAGUCGAGCGGGGGAAGUAGCUUGCUACUGGACCUAGCGGCGGACGGGUGAGUAAUG
RNAcentral lists this ribosomal RNA (114 nucleotides) under Acinetobacter baumannii ABNIH16. RNAcentral's name for it is "partial 16S ribosomal RNA". It matches the Rfam family "Bacterial small subunit ribosomal RNA", at positions 1 to 115 of the family's 1533-position model. Lineage: Bacteria; Pseudomonadati; Pseudomonadota; Gammaproteobacteria; Moraxellales; Moraxellaceae. The record is from RNAcentral.